UACGAAGGGGGCUAGCGUUGCUCGGAAUUACUGGGCGUAAAGGGCGCGUAGGCGGACAGUUUAGUCGGGGGUGAAAGCCCGGGGCUCAACCUCGGAAUUGCCUUCGAUACUGGCUGUCUUGAGUUCGGGAGAGGUGAGUGGAACUGCGAGUGUAGAGGUGAAAUUCGUAGAUAUUCGCAAGAACACCAGUGGCGAAGGCGGCUCACUGGCCCGAUACUGACGCUGAGGCACGAAAGCGUGGGGAGCAAACAGG
RNAcentral lists this ribosomal RNA (253 nucleotides) under uncultured bacterium. RNAcentral's name for it is "partial 16S ribosomal RNA". It matches the Rfam family "Bacterial small subunit ribosomal RNA", at positions 524 to 776 of the family's 1533-position model. The record is from RNAcentral.